This is a non-coding RNA of Salmonella enterica subsp. enterica serovar Macclesfield, 51 nucleotides long. The record is from Rfam. NCBI's taxonomy places the organism in Bacteria, Pseudomonadati, Pseudomonadota, Gammaproteobacteria, Enterobacterales, Enterobacteriaceae.
UGCAUUUAUUUCAACAAAAACUCAGCGGCCACCGCGCAGGUGGCCUUUUUU